GCAGUUGGUCGGCGAUCGGUCACAACCGUCGGACUUCUAAUCCGACGGUCGGGGGUUCGAAUCCCUCCCGGCGCA
This 75-nucleotide transfer RNA is filed under the name Planctomycetota bacterium. Its description in RNAcentral is "tRNA-Arg". It matches the Rfam family "tRNA". From Rfam's summary of the family: Transfer RNA (tRNA) molecules are approximately 80 nucleotides in length. Their secondary structure includes four short double-helical elements and three loops (D, anti-codon, and T loops). Further hydrogen bonds mediate the characteristic L-shaped molecular structure. tRNAs have two regions of fundamental functional importance: the anti-codon, which is responsible for specific mRNA codon recognition, and the 3' end, to which the tRNAs corresponding amino acid is attached (by aminoacyl-tRNA synthetases). tRNAs cope with the degeneracy of the genetic code in two manners: having more than one tRNA (with a specific anti-codon) for a particular amino acid; and 'wobble' base-pairing, i.e. permitting non-standard base-pairing at the 3rd anti-codon position. The record is from RNAcentral. Lineage: Bacteria; Pseudomonadati; Planctomycetota.